Molecule: long non-coding RNA, 248 nt
Filed under: Lotus japonicus
Lineage: Eukaryota; Viridiplantae; Streptophyta; Magnoliopsida; Fabales; Fabaceae
Description: long non-coding RNA (LJAP_LNC000954)
Source: RNAcentral
GGAGCGAUGGUUGCUCUGAUGCGAUGUGGUGAUAGAGCUUGACGGAGGAUGUUAUCGGCGAUCCGGAAGUAGAAACAGAGAGCGAUUCGGUUAUCGACAUCGAGUUUCUGAGCACUUGCAGCGAUGUUGAUCGUGCCCGAAGAAGAAGAAGAAGUCAUCGUUGUUGUUUCUUCUUCUUCUUCUGAUUGUUCACAGCAACAUCGACAGCAUCAGAAUUGAGAGAUGAGGAUGGUGAUGUUGGUGAGCGA